UGAAUGAUUUGACUUUGAGUUUCCCGGGUGAGGCUUGCCGAGCCCGGGAAUAUGUUAUCCGAAUACCGUAAACACCUUUCUGAGAGAGUCGCGUACGAUAUUUUUCGCCACACUACAGGUAUAGCUGACGCCAAAAAGUUAGGCGGUUUCGUGAGUCUCUUGUGCGUUCCAACAGCUGAUG
Long non-coding RNA from Nilaparvata lugens (brown planthopper), 181 nucleotides. RefSeq lists it as uncharacterized. The record is from RefSeq and is a predicted model, not a curated record. The transcript has 3 exons. Lineage: Eukaryota; Metazoa; Arthropoda; Insecta; Hemiptera; Delphacidae.